This 435-nucleotide long non-coding RNA is filed under the name Homo sapiens (human). RNAcentral's name for it is "PREDICTED lncRNA (TCONS_00256315)". The record is from RNAcentral. Lineage: Eukaryota; Metazoa; Chordata; Mammalia; Primates; Hominidae.
CAGGUAGCUUUGAACACAUGGUAAGGAAAUACAUUCAUCUUUUCACUGAGAACUGCUCACCUAAUUGCUUGGUACAGUCAUGUUCAAUGAUAUGUAGUUGAUUAAAAAAUGACAAAUACUGUGACCAGCUGCCCUUUUGAUGUCAAAUAAUGUGGAAGAUUGAACACCAUGCUGAUCCAUUAGCCAUUUCCAGGAAACAUUGCAGCGUUAUAAGAGAAAUUAUAGACUAUUUGUUGAAGCUCAGCAUGUCCAUCUCCCUGCUUUGAAGAAGGAUGUUGGGAACUGACUGUAAGGAAGACAGGAUUGGAGAACCAGGUUUAGAAGAGAAAAGGCAGUGCCAGAAGUUUUUGAUUGGAGAAAACUACAGGGUAAUGUUGCACAAGAACCAUUGCUGGACCGCCACAUGAUGCUGCUGGAGAGACAGCGGGAAAAGCA